Molecule: long non-coding RNA, 1923 nt
Organism: Apteryx owenii (little spotted kiwi)
Lineage: Eukaryota; Metazoa; Chordata; Aves; Apterygiformes; Apterygidae
Source: Ensembl
AUGAAAGAGAAGCAGGCUUCAAAACAGAUAAUGAAUUUCUUCUAACUUGUCUGGAAACUGAAGAGCUAUAAUUCUGAUUGAUCAGAUAUGGUCUGCCUCAGAGAGACACCAGAUGUGAUCCAGAUUUUAAAUAGAUGCUGCUACUGUCAAAAUGUAUUUGCUCCCUCCUGGUAUAACAAAGUGAAGUCCAUCUGUCUGGAGUUGUGUACUUUUUUUAGUGGUAAUAACAGCUAACAUCGACAAUAAGCUUUGUCUCAUUAGUAUCACAUAAUCCCUACUACCAAGUCCCCAGUUUCUGGUCCCCAUAUUAUCUGCCUCGCAAAAAAUAAAGACCACAGCAGGAGCUAAGAAGGUCAGUGCAUUCUCAGGGUAAUCAGCUGUAGUAAAUUCAAUUCUGACAAGACAAGGCUUGCAAAUGUCUGGGGAAUUAAGGGAUCAUCUAUAAUUUUAUAUGUUGAGUGGGAAAGUGUCCUUCCCAACAUUUAUUAAUUACAGAUGAUGCAUAUGAUGGUCAUCCUUGGAGAGAUUCCUUCUGAAUUAAAGCUAGAAAAAUAGAUUUAACUGUUUGACUUUUCCUCUCGGGAAAAACUACUUCUUUUAGUCUUGCAAUAGUUUCAGUCAGUAAUUUUUCUUCCCCAGUUUUUAUCCCUCUGUCUUAGCAACUGAUGCCUGUCACCCUCUGUGAAACUUUUUGCAUAAAAUUUUCCUCUGUCAUCAAUAGGAAAGCCUUCCGUCGCUUUAGUCUGGGCUCAGUGCCACCUCCCCAGUGUUUGCAGCCCUUAAGAAGUAGCAAGUGAAGAACAAUAAAGAGAAGAACUUUGCAUUUAGAAUUGAACCUUUCACCUGAAGAUCUCAGAGCACUUUAGAAACCUUAAUUACUCCCCUUUGAGGUCUGUAUUGUCCUCUUUCUUUUACAGAUGAAGAAAUUAAAGCACAGUGAGGUUAGAAGCUGAUGUUUUCCAAAUUGGGCAGCUGAAGUAUCCUUCUGCGUCCCUUUGUGGCUGGGCUUUGGUUCUGCGAUACUGAAUCGUCUCCCUGCUCCCCGGCAGUUCUGCCAGCAGCAACCUGCCGGACACAGACUCUUUGGGCCCUCGAUUAUCCCGUAUGAUGUGGCUGCCAACAGGACCAUCGCCUCUUUCUUAGGUGCCCCUGAAUGCAGGGCAAAAAUGCCAGCGGUGGAAAGGGAAUUUCUGCAAGAAGCCCAUACGAGCUUCCUCCUCUGCUCUGGUGGGUAUCAGCGCUUUAUGGGAAGGGACAACAUCCAGUUCCAGGAGCUGUAGGGAUGCUGUGCUCCCAGGAUCCUGCUUGCUGGUAAAAUUCAGAUUUUGGCCACCAAGAGAAGAAGCAUCCAUAUGUGACAUUAUGGUUGCAGCCUCUGUUCCUACUGGACCAAGCCAGGAAGGGCAAAAGGACAUUUUUGAUCAAAGCCUCUUCCCCUGAUUUCUAAGUCCAGAUAAAUUCAAACAUUCUUAUCUUUGGGGGGAACUUCCCCUUCCUGUCCUGUACCUCCCUGGGAGAGAGUCCUUCAUCAAAGAGGGCUGGUGCCCUAAGGUACAUGUAGCACUAUCCUUAGCUAGUAGGGAAAAAUCUGACCCCUCCUGGUUGUUCCUAAGGGUCAGCAAAGUUCCUUGUUAGUGAAAUGCUCCUUUUUUUUUUCUUCUCCUCUUCGUGGAACUUACAAUCUGAGAGCACAUUUCACCUGUGGGUGAAGGAGCACAAGUCAAAACCCACCAACCCUGCAGAACAAGGCCAUGGCCAUAUAUUCAGAAACUUGUGCAUAGCUGGAAGUGAAAGAGGAUGAAGAGGUUGUUUGAGAUACAAGUGGGAACUGAAGAAGAAAAUAUUCAUUCCUCCUGCUUAAACUUGAGCUGGAUCCACAUUUUGGAUUGCCAUGUUUGUAAAUAAAGUGGCUGUAGUAAUGCA